AACGAACGCUGGCGGCAUGCCUAUCACAUGCAAGUCGAACGAGAUCUUCGGGUCUAGUGGCGCACGGGUGCGUAACGCGUGGGAAUCUGCCCUUUGGUUCGGAAUAACAGUUGGAAACGACUGCUAAUACCGGAUGAUGACGAAAGUCCAAAGAUUUAUCGCCAGAGGAUGAGCCCGCGUAGGAUUAGCUAGUUGGUGUGGUAAAGGCGCACCAAGGCGACGAUCCUUAGCUGGUCUGAGAGGAUGAUCAGCCACACUGGGACUGAGACACGGCCCAGACUCCUACGGGAGGCAGCAGUGGGGAAUAUUGGACAAUGGGCGAAAGCCUGAUCCAGCAAUGCCGCGUGAGUGAUGAAGGCCUUAGGGUUGUAAAGCUCUUUUACCCGGGAUGAUAAUGACAGUACCGGGAGAAUAAGCUCCGGCUAACUCCGUGCCAGCAGCCGCAGUAA
This 449-nucleotide ribosomal RNA is filed under the name uncultured bacterium. Its description in RNAcentral is "partial 16S ribosomal RNA". It matches the Rfam family "Bacterial small subunit ribosomal RNA", at positions 29 to 523 of the family's 1533-position model. The record is from RNAcentral.